Molecule: ribosomal RNA, 301 nt
Filed under: uncultured bacterium
Lineage: Bacteria
Description: partial 16S ribosomal RNA
Rfam family: Bacterial small subunit ribosomal RNA
Source: RNAcentral
CAGUCGCCACGGGAAUACGGAGGGAGCUAGCGUUGUUCGGAAUCACUGGGCGUAAAGCGCACGUAGGCGGCUAUUCAAGUCAGGGGUGAAAGCCCGGGGCUCAACCCCGGAACUGCCUUUGAAACUAGAUAGCUUGAAUCUUGGAGAGGCGAGUGGAAUUCCGAGUGUAGAGGUGAAAUUCGUAGAUAUUCGGAAGAACACCAGUGGCGAAGGCGACUCGCUGGACAAGUAUUGACGCUGAGGUGCGAAAGCGUGGGGAGCAAGCAGGAUUAGAUACCCCAGUAGUCCCUGUCUCUUAUAC